RNAcentral lists this ribosomal RNA (200 nucleotides) under uncultured Escherichia sp. RNAcentral describes it as "partial 16S ribosomal RNA". It matches the Rfam family "Bacterial small subunit ribosomal RNA", at positions 334 to 526 of the family's 1533-position model. Lineage: Bacteria; Pseudomonadati; Pseudomonadota; Gammaproteobacteria; Enterobacterales; Enterobacteriaceae. The record is from RNAcentral.
UACUCCUACGGGAGGCAGCAGUGGGGAAUAUUGCACAAUGGGCGCAAGCCUGAUGCAGCCAUGCCGCGUGUAUGAUGAAGGCCUUCGGGUUGUAAAGUACUUUCAGCGGGGAGGAAGGGAGUAAAGUUAAUACCUUUGCUCAUUGACGUUACCCGCAGAAGAAGCACCGGCUAACUCCGUGCCAGCAGCCGCGGUAAUAC